RNAcentral lists this ribosomal RNA (498 nucleotides) under uncultured bacterium. RNAcentral describes it as "bacterial SSU rRNA". It matches the Rfam family "Bacterial small subunit ribosomal RNA", at positions 28 to 531 of the family's 1533-position model. The record is from RNAcentral.
GAUGAACGCUGGCGGCGUGCCUCAAACAUGCAAGUCGAGCGGGGCUAUGUAAUAUCGCAAGGUAGAACAUAGCCUAGCGGCGAACGGGUGAGUAACACGUGGGUAACCUGCCUGGAAGACAGGGAUAACGAUUCGAAAGGGUCGCUAAUACCUGAUAAUAUCCUUUCAUCGCAUGGUGAUAGGAAGAAAGGGGAAACCCGCUUUCAGAUGGGCCCGCGUCCCAUCAGCUAGUUGGUAAGGUAAAGGCUUACCAAGGCGACGACGGGUAGCCGGUCUGAGAGGAUGUACGGCCACACUGGGACUGAGAUACGGCCCAGACUCCUACGGGAGGCAGCAGUUGGGAAUCUUAGGCAAUGGACGAAAGUCUGACCUAGCGACGCCGCGUGAGGGAAGAAGGCCUUCGGGUUGUAAACUCUGUCAUGGGGAAGAAGGAAGUGACGGUACCCAAGAGAAGCCCUGCUAACUACGUGCCAGCAGCCGCGGUAAGUCAUACUCGUA